RNAcentral lists this long non-coding RNA (1232 nucleotides) under Gallus gallus (chicken). Lineage: Eukaryota; Metazoa; Chordata; Aves; Galliformes; Phasianidae. The record is from RNAcentral.
CUGUAUGCUACACUCCACCAUGGCCAUAAUCUGAUGGUAGAACAAGGCAAGUCGAGAGAACCAUUGCUAAGCUUACUUCAGGAAAACAAUCAGUGGAUGGCAGCAGCUACAUCAAACAGCAGUGCCUUGAAUUUUUGAGGUUCCCAGCUUUGAUCUGGCAUAAGGAAGUUUAGUUACAAACUCCAGCUGUGAAUUAUUCUCAAUCAGGACACUGGCGCAUCUUCCAGCUAUCAUAAGUAAAACAAAAGAAUGGUUAAGCUGAUAGCACAUGAGAUAGGGUUGUUUGUAAAGAAAGUGCAUUCAACACAAUUCUAUAGAGGAAGAAAAUAUGCAACAAGUUUUAUUCAGCUUAAGUCCACCAGCACAAAGAUUACAGGAAAUAGAAAGUGCAUUAAUAAAAGCUAGUAUUUACCAAAAAGAAAAUAUAUUAUUGAUUCAAAAUAUUUUACAGUUGAAUGAUGCAAUAACUUAUUCUGGGCACCUACUGAUUAAGAGAAAGAUCAAGAAAAUGGCUGCUUCACAAGUAAAUCUAACUUCCCAGUUAAAGUCUGAGAGUUUAGUAGAGAUCACUGAGUCCAGCAGUCUUCCUUGCUUUCUGCAUUAAUGCUCUCAGCUGGAACUGCUUGCGAGACAGAAGACGUACAUGCUUUAAAAAGACAUCUAGAUCUAUCACUCCACGCCUUAAUGCUUCCCCAAGAUAAAAGAUGGUGUCUUCAAUUGCAUUUUCCUCUGCAUAUAAGUUCAGGAUCUGCUUGUAAAGUGGUGCCGUAGGAAUGAUAACUUCAUCUAUGUCAUUAUUUUCUGAUUGACUUUCCAUUUUCUCUAAGGCGGAACUGAGCUCCUCGUCCUUCUUUUUGAGAAGUUCAAUGUUCUUGUCAACUUCAGCCACUUCUUGAUCCAGACGAGUUACCAUCUCUUCCAGUUUCUGGUGUCCUUUCUUCAGGUCCUCUUCUGUGCGCUUCAAGGCAUUGAGUUCAGCUUGAGCACGAUCCAUUUCUUCUUUCAUCCGCCAUCUCAGUUUAUCACUGACUGCUGAAAUAAGGGAAGCUCGAAUGGUGUCUUCACUGAUAGUUCCAUCUCUACUGGGUCCAACUGUAGUCACAGGGGGCUGAGAAGGAUAGUAUGGAACAUUAGUGGUAGGUGGGAAUGGAACACCAGCUGGAUAAGGAUAGCUUGGGAAGCUUGGGUUUGCAGUGCUUCCAGUUGGAUAAGGAGAUAUUCCUGGCAUGCCA